This 575-nucleotide long non-coding RNA is filed under the name Salmo salar (Atlantic salmon). RNAcentral's name for it is "lncRNA (ENSSSAG00000114194.1)". Lineage: Eukaryota; Metazoa; Chordata; Actinopteri; Salmoniformes; Salmonidae. The record is from RNAcentral.
UUGGAGAGUUCAUCAAUGAGCUUGACGCCUUGAUAAGUUCCUUUCCUGAGGAUGGCUCACCUCUCACAGUUCUGGACCAUUUCCGGAGACCUUCUCCCCUACCUCACCUCGCUCAUCAACGCAUCCUUGACCGCUGGCUACGUCCCUUCCGUCUUCAAGAGAGCGAGAGUUGCACCCCUUCUGAAAAAACCUACACUCGAUCCCUCCGAUGUCAACAACUACAGACCUAUCUGCUGCCUUUGAUACCGUGAACCAUCAGAUCCUCCUCUCCACCCUCUCCGAGCUGGGCAUCUCCGGCACCGCGCACGCUUGGAUUGCGUCCUACCUGACAGGUCGCUCCUACCAGGUGGCGAAUCGCAUCUCUGCAUGUCUGGCAGACAUAUCAGUGUGGAUGACGGAUCACCACCUCAAGCUGAACCUCGGCAAGACGGAGCUGCUCUUCCUCCCGGGGAAGGACUGCCCGUUCCAUGAUCUCGCCAUCACGGUUGACAACUCCCUUGUGUCCUCCUCCCAGAGUGCUAAGAGCCUUGGCGUGACCCUGGACAACACCCUGUCGUUCUCCACCAACAUCAAGG